GACGAACGCUGGCGGCGUGCCUAACACAUGCAAGUCGAGCGAAGUGCUUUUGACAGAUUCCUUAGGGAUGAAGACAAAAGUAUCUUAGCGGCGGACGGGUGAGUAACGCGUGAGAAACCUGCCUUUCACAAAGGGAUAGCCUCGGGAAACUGGGAUUAAUACCUUAUGAAACUAAACUAUCACAUGAUAGACUAGUCAAAGCGUAAAGCGGUGAAAGAUGGUCUCGCGUCCCAUUAGUUAGUUGGUGAGGUAGAGGCUCACCAAGACAUCGAUGGGUAGCCGGCCUGAGAGGGUGACCGGCCACACUGGAACUGAGACACGGUCCAG
Molecule: ribosomal RNA, 327 nt
Filed under: uncultured bacterium
Lineage: Bacteria
Description: bacterial SSU rRNA
Rfam family: Bacterial small subunit ribosomal RNA
Source: RNAcentral